CGGCCUAUCAGCUUGUUGGUGGGGUGACGGCCUACCAAGGCGACGACGGGUAGCCGGCCUGAGAGGGUGUCCGGCCACACUGGGACUGAGAUACGGCCCAGACUCCUACGGGAGGCAGCAGUGGGGAAUAUUGCACAAUGGGCGCAAGCCUGAUGCAGCGACGCCGCGUGGGGGAUGACGGCCUUCGGGUUGUAAACCUCUUUCACCAUCGACGAAGGUCCGGGUUCUCUCGGAUUGACGGUAGGUGGAGAAGAAGCACCGGCCAACUACGUGCCAGCAGCCGCGGUAAUACGUAGGGUGCGAGCGUUGUCCGGAAUUACUGGGCGUAAAGAGCUCGUAGGUGGUUUGUCGCGUUGUUCGUGAAAUCUCACGGCUUAACUGUGAGCGUGCGGGCGAUACGGGCAGACUAGAGUACUGCAGGGGAGACUGGAAUUCCUGGUGUAGCGGUGGAAUGCGCAGAUAUCAGGAGGAACACCGGUGGCGAAGGCGGGUCUCUGGGCAGUAACUGACGCUGAGGAGCGAAAGCGUGGGGAGCGAACAGGAUUAGAUACCCUGGUAGUCCACGCCGUAA
RNAcentral lists this ribosomal RNA (571 nucleotides) under Mycobacterium tuberculosis. Its description in RNAcentral is "bacterial SSU rRNA". It matches the Rfam family "Bacterial small subunit ribosomal RNA", at positions 234 to 805 of the family's 1533-position model. The record is from RNAcentral. Lineage: Bacteria; Bacillati; Actinomycetota; Actinomycetes; Mycobacteriales; Mycobacteriaceae.